Molecule: long non-coding RNA, 2368 nt
Filed under: Mytilus galloprovincialis (Mediterranean mussel)
Lineage: Eukaryota; Metazoa; Mollusca; Bivalvia; Mytilida; Mytilidae
Source: RNAcentral
AUAAAUUCAUCUUUAGUAUUUUUCCUGUUUUCUUUUCAAGUUCAUGAGAAAAGUAUAUUAAUUCCUGCAAUGUAAGUAUUGGCAUUCUCAUUUAACAGUGCAUACUGAAGUAAAUAUUGUUAUAGACGAUAUCAAUGAUGACUCUGAAUACCAAAAUGAAUACUUUUAAGUUCAUGUACACCUUACAACAAAGCUACUGUACUUUUUAACAAUAUUAUACAUGUAUAGGGAUGUCAAAGUGAGACUAUCAGUAUUUGAAAUACUCAUAAUUAAUUACACAGGGAAGGCAUUUCAAUCUACUUAACUACCCUUGUUUGCUAUUUGAAUCAUUAUCCAUUGUAGUUAUUUUAAUUUGUCUACUUUUUGUAGGAUCUUUAAUAGUUUUACAGUACAGAUUGAAAUAUUAAAGCUUAAGGAAAUGAGUACUAGGCAUAUUGUGUUGUUACUUUUUUCACUGUGAAUUCAAUAGGAAACCUUGUAAAUUAUUCAUUGUUUUGUGUUGUAUAAAAUGUAAAUGAUAGCAAAUAUUAAUGAUAAAAAAUCUAAAACAACAACUAUUUGUGUACUUUCAGAGUUGUUUGUUUGCAGAUUAAUAAAGACCCAUUUUGGUGUGUAUGGUUUGGAAUAUUGUCAACAUUCAGGUAUUUGUACAAAGCAGAUCCUUAAUAUUUGAACAAAAAAAAACUUUAAUUUUAAAUACCAAGACAAUGACAGUUAUAGGUCAAAAUGAUUGUUGACUUAACUCCCAAUGUAAAAACAUUUUUUUUUGUUUUUGUUCAUGAAUUAAGGAAGUGGAUGUUAUAUUGUAUAAUUUAAAUCAUGACCUUUCAAGGGUACUUUUUGACCAACUCAGUGGUCUUGUAGUGAUGUGAAUGACUCAAGUAAAGAGGUUUUUGUUAGAUAACCAAGACUUGAAAAUUGGUAUUUUCUGCUUCUCUGCUAAGCACCCUGCAAUUAGGAAUAAGAGCAAAGACUGUCAACCACAAAUGAGAAUAAUUCGGUUGGAUAGGAUGACAUGUCUUCUUGGAGACUUUUGCUUUGUACAUUAUCACGUUAAAAUAAACAGCUCAGUGUUUGUUUACUAUACAGCAGGUUUCAUAUUCAUAUUGAAAUGUCCUCAUCCUAUAAAUGCAUUCAACUUGCAUCCAGACAUUAAACAACCAUUCAGGAUCGUCAUAACUGGUAUUUUAAAGUUCAGAUAAGCAUUCAGUAGUACAAUUUAUUUUCGUAUCCCAGGUAAACUGGUAAAGAAAAAGUUGUAAGCAAAUAAACUAAAACAAAAAGUGUUUAUAAUUUUUAUUAAAAUAAUACAAAAUAAUAUAACAUGAAUGACACUAGACAUAUAACUUUUAUUAGAAUAAAACAACAUUCAAUAUGUUGUAAUUGGAUUAUAGACGUUCAUCUUUCUUCAGGGAUUUCCUUUACUGGUCUGUUCUGUUAUUUGACUCCGUUAUUUGUCAUUUCGGAUAUAAGCAUACUCCGCUUUAUUGCAUAAUUUUCUCUGGCAAAUAGGCUAUUCAUAUAACCAGAAUGUACUGUAUAACAAAUCUUAACAUCUUUUUUCAGCAUGUUACCACUUCUUAUUAAAGAUGGUUUGACAACAGCCUUUAUUGGAUCUACACUGUUGUAUUUAAUUUUAUCCUUAUCAUUGUAUGACCUGGUGCAAUACACUGGAUGGAGAAAGUCUCUACAAAAAUUAAUGGUAAGUGUUUGAACAUGUUAAGUUACUAUAAAAUUCACCCUGAACUCUUAUUUGACUAAUAAUCAUAAUGGUAUACACAGAAGGGAUAACAAAAGGAAUUACCAAAAAUAUAAAACUUAACAGCAAACCACACCAAACAUCAUCAUCCUUGACUCCUCCCUUAGCUAAAAGAUGUAAAACAAAGACAAAAAAUUAUGAACAAGACAUGUUGCAGUCAUGAAAUAUAUUGGUUUUUUUUACAGUUUUACUUGUAUCAACAACCUCACAAUUUGAUUAUCUAGACUUUUAUUUUUAAAAUAUAAGGUUAGACUUAACCAACAAAUGCCAGCAUUGUAAUCAAAAUUUUAUAGAUUUUUUGUGAGGUAAGUGGGACACUCAAAGAGUCUUGCAGGCAUCACAGCUAUUUUCAAAUCAGAAUAACUUUGUGAAAUUACACUUAUAAUAAUAUUUACCUUGAUAUUUUUUUGUCCAUUUCAGUUUUUAGUAUCAUUACUUGGAAUGGCUGUUUUAACCAUAGGGAGUUUGACAGUAAAACCACCAGUUCAUCUACCAGACUUGUUUCCUGUUCUAGUCUCAGCAUAUUCUUGUUUUCAUUUUGUGCUAUUUUUAGUUUAUUUUCAUUACAGACAGUUCACACUUGCAAAUGACAAACAAGAUGAAGUAUUA